RNAcentral lists this ribosomal RNA (477 nucleotides) under Candidatus Scalindua marina (nom. nud.). RNAcentral describes it as "bacterial SSU rRNA". It matches the Rfam family "Bacterial small subunit ribosomal RNA", at positions 365 to 832 of the family's 1533-position model. Lineage: Bacteria; Pseudomonadati; Planctomycetota; Candidatus Brocadiia; Candidatus Brocadiales; Candidatus Scalinduaceae. The record is from RNAcentral.
UUCGCAAUGCCCGAAAGGGUGACGAAGCGACGCCGCGUGGGUGAGGAAGGCCCUCGGGUUGUAAAGCCCUGUCAGGAGUUAAGAAAUGUAGAUACGCUAAUAUCGUAUCUAUUUGACAAAGGCUCCAAAGGAAGCCACGGCUAACUCUGUGCCAGCAGCCGCGGUAAUACAGAGGUGGCAAGCGUUGUUCGGAAUUAUUGGGCGUAAAGAGCACGUAGGUGGAUUUGUAAGUCAGAUGUGAAAGCCUUCUGUUCAACGGAAGAAUUGCAUCUGAGACUACAAACCUUGAGUAUAGGAGGGGAGAAUGGAACUUCUGGUGGAGCGGUGAAAUGCGUAGAUAUCAGAAGGAACGUCGGCGGCGAAAGCGACUCUCUGGCCUAUUACUGACACUGAGUGUGCGAAAGUUAGGGGAGCAAAUGGGAUUAGAUACCCCGGUAGUCCUAACUGUAAACGAUGGGCACUAAGUAGAGGGGUUUU